Molecule: ribosomal RNA, 253 nt
Filed under: uncultured bacterium
Lineage: Bacteria
Description: partial 16S ribosomal RNA
Rfam family: Bacterial small subunit ribosomal RNA
Source: RNAcentral
UACGUAGGGGGCAAGCGUUGUCCGGAAUUAUUGGGCGUAAAGAGCGCGUAGGCGGUCCGAUAAGUCGGCUGUGAAAGUCAGGGGCUCAACCCUUGGAAGCCGGCCGAUACUGUCGGACUAGAGUCCGGAAGAGGCGAGUGGAAUUCCCGGUGUAGCGGUGAAAUGCGCAGAUAUCAGGAAGAACACCCGUGGCGAAGGCGGCUCUCUGGGACGGUACUGACGCUGAGACGCGAAAGCGUGGGGAGCGAACAGG